GGUGCUGCAUGGCUGUCGUCAGCUCGUGUCGUGAGAUGUUGGGUUAAGUCCGUAACGAGCGCAACCCUUGUCCUUAGUUACCAGCACGUAUGGUGGGCACUCUAAGGAGACUGCCGGUGACAAACCGGAGGAAGGUGGGGAUGACGUCAAGUCACCAUGGCCCUUACGGCCUGGGCUACACACGUGCUACAAUGGUCGGUACAAAGGGUUGCCAAGCCGCGAGGUGGAGCUAAUCCCAUAAAACCGAUCGUAGUCCGGAUCGCAGUCUGCAACUCGACUGCGUGAAGUCGGAAUCGCUAGUAAUCGUGAAUCAGAAUGUCACGGUGAAUACGUUCCCGGGCCUU
Molecule: ribosomal RNA, 344 nt
Filed under: uncultured Pseudomonas sp.
Lineage: Bacteria; Pseudomonadati; Pseudomonadota; Gammaproteobacteria; Pseudomonadales; Pseudomonadaceae
Description: bacterial SSU rRNA
Rfam family: Bacterial small subunit ribosomal RNA
Source: RNAcentral